UACGAAGGGGGCUAGCGUUGUUCGGAAUCACUGGGCGUAAAGGGCGCGUAGGCGGCUUUGUAAGUCGGGGGUGAAAGCCUGUGGCUCAACGACAGAAUUGCCUUCGAUACUGCAUGGCUUGAGACCGGAAGAGGUAAGUGGAACUGCGAGUGUAGAGGUGAAAUUCGUAGAUAUUCGCAAGAACACCAGUGGCGAAGGCGGCUUACUGGUCCGGUUCUGACGCUGAGGCGCGAAAGCGUGGGGAGCAAACAGG
Molecule: ribosomal RNA, 253 nt
Filed under: uncultured bacterium
Lineage: Bacteria
Description: partial 16S ribosomal RNA
Rfam family: Bacterial small subunit ribosomal RNA
Source: RNAcentral